CGGGUGAGUAACACGUGGAUAACCUACCUAUAAGACUGGGAUAACUUCGGGAAACCGGAGCUAAUACCGGAUAAUAUUUUGAACCGCAUGGUUCAAAAGUGAAAGACGGUCUUGCUGUCACUUAUAGAUGGAUCCGCGCUGCAUUAGCUAGUUGGUAAGGUAACGGCUUACCAAGGCAACGAUGCAUAGCCGACCUGAGAGGGUGAUCGGCCACACUGGAACUGAGACACGGUCCAGACUCCUACGGGAGGCAGCAGGC
Molecule: ribosomal RNA, 259 nt
Filed under: uncultured Staphylococcus sp.
Lineage: Bacteria; Bacillati; Bacillota; Bacilli; Caryophanales; Staphylococcaceae
Description: partial 16S ribosomal RNA
Rfam family: Bacterial small subunit ribosomal RNA
Source: RNAcentral